RNAcentral lists this ribosomal RNA (550 nucleotides) under uncultured bacterium. RNAcentral's name for it is "bacterial SSU rRNA". It matches the Rfam family "Bacterial small subunit ribosomal RNA", at positions 355 to 896 of the family's 1533-position model. The record is from RNAcentral.
UAGGGAAUCUUCGGCAAUGGGGGGAACCCUGACCGAGCAACGCCGCGUGAGUGAAGAAGGUUUUCGGAUCGUAAAGCUCUGUUGUUAAGGAAGAACGUGUGUGAGAGUGGAAAGUUCACACAGUGACGGUACUUAACCAGAAAGGGACGGCUAACUACGUGCCAGCAGCCGCGGUAAUACGUAGGUCCCGAGCGUUGUCCGGAUUUAUUGGGCGUAAAGCGAGCGCAGGCGGUUAGAUAAGUCUGAAGUGAAAGGCAGUGGCUCAACCAUUGUAGGCUUUGGAAACUGUUUAACUUGAGUGCAGAAGGGGAGAGUGGAAUUCCAUGUGUAGCGGUGAAAUGCGUAGAUAUAUGGAGGAACACCGGUGGCGAAAGCGGCUCUCUGGUCUGUAACUGACGCUGAGGCUCGAAAGCGUGGGGAGCGAACAGGAUUAGAUACCCUGGUAGUCCACGCCGUAAACGAUGAGUGCUAGGUGUUAGGUCCUUUCCGGGAUUCAGUGCCGCAGCUAACGCAUUAAGCACUCCGCCUGGGGAGUACGACCGCAAGGUUG